This 492-nucleotide ribosomal RNA is filed under the name uncultured bacterium. RNAcentral describes it as "partial 16S ribosomal RNA". It matches the Rfam family "Bacterial small subunit ribosomal RNA", at positions 29 to 507 of the family's 1533-position model. The record is from RNAcentral.
AGUGAACGCUGGCGGUAGGCCUAACACAUGCAAGUCGAACGGCAGCACAGUAAGAGCUUGCUCUUACGGGUGGCGAGUGGCGGACGGGUGAGGAAUACAUCGGAAUCUACUUUUUCGUGGGGGAUAACGUAGGGAAACUUACGCUAAUACCGCAUACGACCUACGGGUGAAAGCAGGGGAUCUUCGGACCUUGCGCGAUUGAAUGAGCCGAUGUCGGAUUAGCUAGUUGGCGGGGUAAAGGCCCACCAAGGCGACGAUCCGUAGCUGGUCUGAGAGGAUGAUGAGGGACAGGAGAGCGAGAACGACGACCAGACGCCGACAGUAGCGCGCAGGCGCGAAGGUGGGGCAAUAGGCGGAAACUUGGACAACCAGGCCGAAGCCAGAGAAAGAGACGCCGCGGUUGCGAAGACGUCUUGCUGGGAAAGAAAAGCUGCCUCCUGUUACCAAGCGGUAGUGACGGUACGGAAUAAAUAAGCACCGGCUAACUUCGUG